Molecule: ribosomal RNA, 119 nt
Filed under: Pteropus alecto (black flying fox)
Lineage: Eukaryota; Metazoa; Chordata; Mammalia; Chiroptera; Pteropodidae
Source: RNAcentral
GUCUAUGGCCAUGCCACCCUGAACAUGCCUAAUCUCCUCUGAUCUCUGGAGCUAAGCAGGGUCAGGCCUGCUUAGUACUUGGAUGGGAGACCACCUAGGAAUACUAGGUGCUGUAGGUG